AUGUAAAUUUUUUAUUUUACUUUUUACAGACUAUUAAGUGAGCAUGCAUUUGUGCUUUAUUUUUCUUUUUAAUUCAAUAUAAAAUAAAUUAGGUUUACAAGCAUCUGGUUUUUUCUCUUUUUCAAAAUUUCUUGGGUAGAUUUUGUUUAUGCAUGUGGUUUUUAUUGUUUGAACGCUUCUAGCACUAAGCACAUUGAGUUGUAACUGAAAAAAGUCUAAUUAGAAGGGAAGAACUUGGUGCAAUUAAGGUGUUUGACAAUAUGCCUAAAACAAGAAAAAAAAUUAUUCCUUUUCUUUCCCCAUAGGUGAUUUUAUCAUAAUUAUCUAUUCCCUUGCAAGGAUAUAACUUUUGAUAACACAAAUAUGGGACGUUUGAAAUAUAUUUCGGCAAUUAUAGGUAUGACACUGAAAUACGCAGCAUAUCCUUUACUGGUAAUGUAUUUGCAUAUUUCUUUGUAUCUGAAAAAUGGUGCUUUUACAUGAAAGAAAAUGAAUAAGAAUAAUUCUUUCAUGGUGCCUUGCAUUUUUAUCGUGCUGCAAUUAGUAAUGUUGUUUUUUCGGGAAUUCAUCAUUAGCAGAAACUUUUAUUCUCUCUUUGUCCGGAGUAUCUAUAUAAAUAGUAAGAUUUACAUGAUUAAUAUUAUUAAUUUUUUCUUCUAUUUAUUUACUAUCUAGGUCAACAGAAAUGUAUAUCCAGACCAUCCUUCUAAAGUGCUUAUUAACCUAUUGGUGGUAAAAUGCAGUAGUGUUAUCUGAAUUCCCUGCGUGCCUCUCUAUUUUCAUUGUACAAGUAAAUGUGAUUUUUUUGUUGAUGAUAUGUGGGUUCUAAAACAAUGUUGUUUUAUUAUAUGUUAAUGCAGGAGACUAACUCAUUAACAAUGUUGUUUUAUUAUAUGUGUCAGUUGCUACCUUCAAUUUUCUUUUUGACCUACACGUGGUUACUUUUUAUUUGUGUGGAACGUCUGCCUUCCACUUCAGUUCCAUUUCGCUUCUUCCUAAUUCUGUGUCGUUCCUAAUCAGUCAUCCUAUGCCCAUCUUUUAGCUGCUUCUAUUGAGCUUUUUUUCUUUCUUCUCUAUGUUCAAGUAUCUCUAUUUUUUUUAAGAUGGAAUUUUAGAUUAUUUAACUGCAGAUUCUUUAAGAGAAGGUGUACCCCUCCUGUAUGUCUUCAAGCAUUUCGACAGUGUUAUUUGGAAAUUUAGGGGGACUGAACAGGUAAGGACUGCAUAGAAACUGCUUGCUCUACUCAUCUGAUUGGUGUCUCUUGUUUAGAGGUUUAGUUGCUUCUGGCGAUCAACAACUGAUAUGCAAUUGACCGCUCAUCCUGGCUUGCCGUGCAUCUCUUCUUCUACUUAAUUUUUCACAAAGAUGAUUAUACACAAUCAUAAAUAAUGCAGGGGAAAAGCCUGAUUUGAAAAGCCCUUUGUACAACCUGUAGACGCCAAUCCCUUUCUUUGCGUGUGAAAUCUCCCGUAGUGUAAUUUCAGUUCAUCCUUACUUCCUGAACGCAAAAUACAAUUAACAUUAGCCUAUCAAGCAUUAUCGAUGUAUGUUUGAUCUCGGAUAUUGUUCUUCAGCUGAGGCUGGUAAGCUCAUGCUCAUGGUUGGAUUGAUGGUUGUCUAUGUGUCUCCUAAAGGAUUUUCAAUAGCAAAUAACUUGUGAUCUCAAGUUGAAGAUGUCUAAGAUGUCUGAGAUGGAGUAAGAUGAAUUGGAAUCAACUAUUCAACUACGAAGGUUUAUUUAGCUUUAGUAACAAUUUUGUCUAGAAAUAAUUAGCAUGAGUAUAUGUAUAACACAUUUUGGUUGUAUUACUGGAAUUAGGUGAUAUUCGAGUUGUUUAUAUACAUGAGUAUAGUUCAUGUACAGAAGACAUUUAAGUGAGCCAUAAUCUUUUUCUUAUUUUCCAAGAUUAGAACUGUGUUUCCAUAUGUUUUUUAGGGUAAGAGCAUUGACACAGUGUACUAUGUCUAACUUCAUGCUCAUUAGAUGUUCAGUUAUUGUAUGAGGUCUACCCGAAUGCUAGCUGCAUUUGCUGGAAAUAUUGAAGCUCGAGUUACUGCAUAUUGACGAGAAACCUCUCAUGUCAAAACCGAAAACUGUCAAAUAGCAACUUUCCACAAUUGUUCUGAG
Molecule: long non-coding RNA, 2129 nt
Organism: Nicotiana attenuata
Lineage: Eukaryota; Viridiplantae; Streptophyta; Magnoliopsida; Solanales; Solanaceae
Exons: 6
Source: RefSeq, a predicted model, not a curated record